This is a non-coding RNA of Neotoma lepida (desert woodrat), 74 nucleotides long. Lineage: Eukaryota; Metazoa; Chordata; Mammalia; Rodentia; Cricetidae. The record is from Rfam.
GGAGAGGUGGCUCAGAGGUUAAGAGCACUUGACUGUUCUUCCAGAGGUCCUGAGUUCAAUUCCCAGCAACCACA